CCCCCGAUAGCUCAGCGGUCUAGGGCGACCUCACAAACGGGACUAUAGUAUAAAGGGUAACAUUCUUUCGGAUGAGGGAGAUACGAUAUCUUACUCUGGAAGAGUUCCAAGUUCGAUUCUUGGUAGUUCUCUUGUGGGA
Molecule: transfer RNA, 139 nt
Filed under: Endocarpon pusillum Z07020
Lineage: Eukaryota; Fungi; Ascomycota; Eurotiomycetes; Verrucariales; Verrucariaceae
Description: tRNA-Ser (CGA) (tRNA-Ser-CGA-1-1)
Rfam family: tRNA (bases 39-131)
About the family: Transfer RNA (tRNA) molecules are approximately 80 nucleotides in length. Their secondary structure includes four short double-helical elements and three loops (D, anti-codon, and T loops).
Source: RNAcentral